GGCUGGGCAGGCUGGGCCGGCUGGCGGGGAGGGGAUGGGAAGCACGGAGGAACAAAGAAAGUGAAACUGUCGGUAUCCUCAAAGAAGCCUGAGUUCCUGCCACGACCUAUUCUUGGCUAUGGAAGGACAUAACAGAUCCCCACAUGGCAUUCCACAAGGCUUCGGGUCAUAUAUUGACUCAAGAGCACAUGCAACAUGACGUCAUGGGACUACAAAGGCGUGGCACUUCCCUCUCCCACUGCUGCACCCAAACUUUAAGAGGAACUACAACGCCCCAGGAAAUUUCCUAAGAGUCAGAAGACCCUACACUGAGGGUCCCAGGCUGAGGUGCUUCACUUCAUUUCCACCAAAAAUAAAGACCAGUUGCAGCCCAGGAGCGUUGGGCCUCAGA
Cebus imitator (Panamanian white-faced capuchin) is the source of this 391-nucleotide long non-coding RNA. RefSeq lists it as uncharacterized. The transcript has 2 exons. NCBI's taxonomy places the organism in Eukaryota, Metazoa, Chordata, Mammalia, Primates, Cebidae. The record is from RefSeq and is a predicted model, not a curated record.